UUUUUUUUUUUUAGGUAAAUAAUUUAAUGAUGAUAGAACACUAGAAUUUCUUUAAACACAAUAUUUCAAGUUACUAUAUUUUUGUCUGGAGUACAAAUCUGAAAUGGUACAAAUUGUACCCAAAUAAUGAACCAUGAAUUAAGCAAACAGAAUGAAAAAAAAAUAUUCUCCUGACUUUGGUUUCCAUUCCUUACUCCCACUCACUCUUCCUUGCCUCAGACGGCUUCUAUUGAAGACACUCAGUUCAAUCUUUAAAGGACAACAUGAGAGGGUCUGCUGCCGACAGGGCUAAUCCAGACGAGCCACAGGCGCCGGGCAGGGGAGCCACAGACUCUGAAGAACCUCACUUCCUGCUGGAAGCCAGUCCCAUUUUCUACUUUGUUUCAAGCCAAGGCUGCUGAGAUGAGGCACCCCUCAGUAGCUACUGACCAUUUAAGUAUGGAGAGAAAAGCAAGGUAGAAAAAUUAUUUACAUUCUGCCAACAGGGACAGACAAACCUGGUAUGGACUACUAUUAACAUUGUCAAGCCAUCUGCUUUCAGUCUUACAGGCUGCUUAAGAACACUUUUACUACGAGAGCCCUUGCUGGUCUUGGAGCGGCACGGAAUGAGGCGGCUUGCUUUAGUGGUGACGAGGAGGACUCUUACACCAGGUGGCCAAGGAACAGUUGCCCAACCCCAAGUCUGGGAAUCAGAUGAACUGGGGUUUUUGUUGUUGUUAGUACAUAUACAUGGCAUAGUUUAUUAACAAAACUACUUUUCUUGUUUCCUUGCUUUAUAAAGUCACACCCCAUAUAUGGUCAUCAUUAAAACUCACUGACUGCCAGUACCAAAUGUGAAAGGCUCCGAAACUGUAAAAGCAAGGCAAGUAGUAUGGAUCCUGAGACAAACGUUAGAAUGGGUCAGCCCAGACAUUACUCACAGUGGAGUGCAAACACUACAUUUUGUCUAGAACUGCCUGAGAUGGGAGGACUCUGCCCAUGAGCCCCAUCACUCAGUCACCAGACAGGGAACGAGGGCUUCUCUUGGCUUUGGCGCUCUGCUCCCUGGAUGGGUUUCCAAUUGGUGCAGGCAAUGAGUGAGAGGCUCAAAGUAGAGCAACAGCCCAUAGAUCGUCCAACAAAAUACUCUGGAAUCCCACCCAGACCAGGAGCAAGACAGAAGCUAAGGGCUGUUGUCAGCCACAAACUGAUUUCACAAAGCACAGCAGCACAGCCCCCUCCCUUCAGCCCCUUCCUCAACCUAAAGCCCAGCACACAGGAAGCUCUUUGGGAGAGGAGAAGGGAAGUUGGCACAGGGGAGGAUGUUCUGUUUCCCGAAGGCCUGAUGCUCUAGGCCAAACCCAACAAGAUGUCAGAGUGUAGAAUAUGGUCCCACCUAGAAAAUGAAUGGCACUAUUUUAACAGUAGAGCAUCCUGGGAAAAUCCAGGAUGCCUACUCUGAAACUUAAAUCAAGAACAUGGAAGCCACACGAGUAUGCAGCCUUUCAGAUUCAGUACACAGGGCCAGCAGCUCGCCCUGAAAGUCCCACCAAGGACAAGAGCAGUAACUUUUCGAUUUCAAUACAAUUAUGAGCAGAAAUUACAUGAUGUAAAAUAGAGGUCCUUCCAUAAAGCUUAAGAUUUAAAGCAGAAGAAGAGAAGACAGCAACAAAUUUCCCACAAAAUCAAAAUAAUUCCACAUUGUUCUUGUACUCCAUGAAACCUUGAGAUAAUUGCAGUCCUCAAACGCCUGUAUUUGGAUCUAGGUUCGCCAGAACACGUCAGUAAGCUUCAAACUGGCUCAUCAUCAACUUUCUGCUGUAUUCAUAGGCCAAAAAUAGUGCCCCGUUGGCAGGGAACGCUUGGAUCAUAGUAGGUUUCUGUCCAGAAUACAAGGCCAUUAUUCCUUCAUUUCUCACAACACUGAUAAAGGUUCCGAGAAAUCCUGCCUGUUUCCCCGACAUGGAAAGAACUUGAAUUCUGGAUUUUAUACAAUCCACUGGGUAUACAGCAAGCCAGAGGCAGAUUCCACCAACGCCACCACUUAACAUCAAAGGGACAGGGUCUAGUUCAUCUUUUGAUCUCCCACAUGCCAAAAAACGAUCGGCUCAGUUCAUAGCCACCGAAGAAGAAGAAAUAGCCCGGUACUUCUCGAAGUAAAGUGCUCGAGUCCGUGGUAGAAGCCCAAGGGGCCACCCUUCCUAAGGAUACUCUUCACGAGGGACCAAACUGUAUUAUGGCUUUUGGCUAUCUUCCCCGACGUCUGCAUUUCGUCCAUGGUCUAUAGUCGGAACUUCACAAGCUCAAUGGGGCAGAGCAUCAGGGCAGCAAACGCGGAGGCGAAGGAACUGGCAGCCGCAUUAUGCAGGUCACUCAGCUUUGCCUGCUUGUUUAAUCCAACCGCUUUCCGCACCACCUGCUGGCAGAAGC
Long non-coding RNA from Equus caballus (horse), 2409 nucleotides. The record is from Ensembl. Lineage: Eukaryota; Metazoa; Chordata; Mammalia; Perissodactyla; Equidae.